UAAAGCGAACUUCUCAUUUGCUAUUUCGGGAAUGACCUGUUAAGCUAGGUACUAAUGUAUUUACUACUUCGAAAUUUUGGUACGACGUUCGUGAGAAUGACAUCCCCGAUUUCAAAAGUCUUCAAAUGCACAAAUAUAUUGCGCUAUGCGCACGGAGGUUUCAUUCUUAUGGAACAAGGUACUGUUAAAUGGUUCAACGGCGACAAAGGUUUUGGUUUUAUCACUCUUGAAAACGGCUCAGACGUUUUCGUACACUUCUCAGCUAUCAAUGCUGAAGGUUACAAGACGCUUGAAGAAGGCCAAAAAGUGACCUUAGACGUUGAACAAGGCGACCGCGGCCCACAAGCAGCCAACGUUACUGUUGCUUAAUUAAAACUAACUUUUAGAAAAAGACCGCCUCGGCGGUCUUUUUUUC
RNAcentral lists this small RNA (415 nucleotides) under Secundilactobacillus similis DSM 23365 = JCM 2765. RNAcentral describes it as "Lactobacillus similis DSM 23365 = JCM 2765 cspA thermoregulator". It matches the Rfam family "cspA thermoregulator", at positions 75 to 428 of the family's 428-position model. Lineage: Bacteria; Bacillati; Bacillota; Bacilli; Lactobacillales; Lactobacillaceae. The record is from Rfam by way of RNAcentral.